GACGAACGCUGGCGGCGUGCUUAACACAUGCAAGUCGAACGGAAAGGCCCUGCUUUUGUGGGGUGCUCGAGUGGCGAACGGGUGAGUAACACGAGAGUAACCUGCCCUUGACUUUGGGAUAACUUCAGGAAACUGGGGCUAAUACCGGAUAGGAGCUCCUGCUGCAUGGUGGGGGUUGGAAAGUUUCGGCGGUUGGGGAUGGACUCGCGGCUUAUCAGCUUGUUGGUGGGGUAGUGGCUUACCAAGGCUUUGACGGGUAGCCGGCCUGAGAGGGUGACCGGCCACAUUGGGACUGAGAUACGGCCCAGACUCUUACGGGAGGCAGCAGUGGGGAAUAUUGCACAAUGGGCGGAAGCCUGAUGCAGCAACGCCGCGUGCGGGAUGACGGCCUUCGGGUUGUAAACCGCUUUCGCCUGUGACGAAGCGUGAGUGACGGUAAUGGGUAAAGAAGCACCGGCUAACUACGUG
RNAcentral lists this ribosomal RNA (468 nucleotides) under uncultured bacterium. Its description in RNAcentral is "partial 16S ribosomal RNA". It matches the Rfam family "Bacterial small subunit ribosomal RNA", at positions 28 to 507 of the family's 1533-position model. The record is from RNAcentral.